GAGUUUGAUCAUGGCUCAGAACGUACGCUGGCGGCACGCCUAACACAUGCAAGUCGAACGAAGUAGCAAUACUUAGUGGCAGACGGGUGAGUAACAUGUGGGUAUCUGCCCUUUGGCCUGGAAUAACACGAGGAAACUUGUGCUAAUACUGGAUAAGUCUUUACGGAGAAAGCUUUAUGCACCAUUGGAUGAGCCCGCACUUGAUUAGUUUGUUGGUGGGGUAAUGGCCUACCAAGACUUUGAUCAAUAGCUGAUUUGAGAGGAUGAUCAGCCACAUUGGGACUGAGACACGGCCCAAACUCCUACGGGAGGCAGCAGUGGGGAAUCUUGCACAAUGGAGGAAACUCUGAUGUAGCGAUGCCGCGUGAGUGAAGAAGGCCCUUGGGUUGUAAAGCUCUUUCGUCGGGGAAGAAAAUGACUGUACCCGAAUAAGAAGGUCCGGCUAACUUCGUGCCAGCAGCCGCGGUAAUACGAAGGGACCUAGCGUAGUUCGGAAUUACUGGGCUUAAAGAGUUCGUAGGUGGUUGAAAAAGUUGGUGGUGAAAUCCCAGAGCUUAACUCUGGAACUGCCAUCAAAACUUUUCAGCUAGGGUUUGAUAGAGGAAAGCAGAAUUUCUAGUGUAGAGGUGAAAUUCGUAGAUAUUAGAAAGAAUACCAAUUGCGAAGGCAGCUUUCUGGAUCAUUACUGACACUGAGGAACGAAAGCAUGGGUAGCGAAGAGGAUUAGAUACCCUCGUAGUCCAUGCCGUAAACGAUGUGUGUUAGACGUUGGAAAUUUAUUUUCAGUGUCGCAGCGAAAGCGAUAAACACACCGCCUGGGGAGUACGACCGCAAGGUUAAAACUCAAAUGAAUUGACGGGGACCCGCACAAGUAGUGGAGCAUGUGGUUUAAUUCGAAGAUACGCGCAGAACCUUACCAACACUUGACAUGUUCGUCGCGACUUUAAGAGAUUAAAGUUUUCGGUUCGGCCGGACGAAACACAGGUGCUGCAUGGCUGUCGCCAGCUCGUGUCGUGAGAUGUUGGGUUAAGUCCCGCAACGAGCGCAACCCUCACUUUUAGUUGCCAUCAUUUAGUUGGGCACUCUGAAAGAACUGCCAGUGAUAAGCUGGAGGAAGGUGGGGAUGACGUCAAGUCCUCAUGGCCCUUACGUGUUGGGCUACACACGUGCUACAAUGGUAUUUACAAAAGGAAGCAAGACGGCGACGUUAAGCAAAUCCUUAAAAAAUACCUCAGUUCGGAUUGCACUCUGCAACUCGAGUGCAUGAAGCUGGAAUUACUAGUAAUCGUGGAUCAGCGUGCCACGGUGAAUGCGU
This 1315-nucleotide ribosomal RNA is filed under the name unidentified marine bacterioplankton. RNAcentral's name for it is "bacterial SSU rRNA". It matches the Rfam family "Bacterial small subunit ribosomal RNA", at positions 9 to 1371 of the family's 1533-position model. The record is from RNAcentral.